Molecule: ribosomal RNA, 2930 nt
Filed under: Escherichia coli
Lineage: Bacteria; Pseudomonadati; Pseudomonadota; Gammaproteobacteria; Enterobacterales; Enterobacteriaceae
Description: 23S ribosomal RNA
Rfam family: Bacterial large subunit ribosomal RNA
Source: RNAcentral
GGGUUGUGAGGUUAAGCGACUAAGCGUACACGGUGGAUGCCCUGGCAGUCAGAGGCGAUGAAGGACGUGCUAAUCUGCGAUAAGCGUCGGUAAGGUGAUAUGAACCGUUAUAACCGGCGAUUUCCGAAUGGGGAAACCCAGUGUGWUUCGWCACACUAUCAUUAACUGAAUCCAUAGGUUAAUGAGGCGAACCGGGGGAACUGAAACAUCUAAGUACCCCGAGGAAAAGAAAUCAACCGAGAUUCCCCCAGUAGCGGCGAGCGAACGGGGAGCAGCCCAGAGCCUGAAUCAGUGUGUGUGUUAGUGGAAGCGUCUGGAAAGGCGCGCGAUACAGGGUGACAGCCCCGUACACAAAAAUGCACAURCUGUGAGCUCGAUGAGUAGGGCGGGACACGUGGUAUCCUGUCUGAAUAUGGGGGGACCAUCCUCCAAGGCUAAAUACUCCUGACUGACCGAUAGUGAACCAGUACCGUGAGGGAAAGGCGAAAAGAACCCCGGCGAGGGGAGUGAAAAAGAACCUGAAACCGUGUACGUACAAGCAGUGGGAGCACGCUUAGGCGUGUGACUGCGUACCUUUUGUAUAAUGGGUCAGCGACUUAUAUUCUGUAGCAAGGUUAACCGAAUAGGGGAGCCGAAGGGAAACCGAGUCUUAACUGGGCGUUAAGUUGCAGGGUAUAGACCCGAAACCCGGUGAUCUAGCCAUGGGCAGGUUGAAGGUUGGGUAACACUAACUGGAGGACCGAACCGACUAAUGUUGAAAAAUUAGCGGAUGACUUGUGGCUGGGGGUGAAAGGCCAAUCAAACCGGGAGAUAGCUGGUUCUCCCCGAAAGCUAUUUAGGUAGCGCCUCGUGAAUUCAUCUCCGGGGGUAGAGCACUGUUUCGGCAAGGGGGUCAUCCCGACUUACCAACCCGAUGCAAACUGCGAAUACCGGAGAAUGUUAUCACGGGAGACACACGGCGGGUGCUAACGUCCGUCGUGAAGAGGGAAACAACCCAGACCGCCAGCUAAGGUCCCAAAGUCAUGGUUAAGUGGGAAACGAUGUGGGAAGGCCCAGACAGCCAGGAUGUUGGCUUAGAAGCAGCCAUCAUUUAAAGAAAGCGUAAUAGCUCACUGGUCGAGUCGGCCUGCGCGGAAGAUGUAACGGGGCUAAACCAUGCACCGAAGCUGCGGCAGCGACGCUUAUGCGUUGUUGGGUAGGGGAGCGUUCUGUAAGCCUGUGAAGGUGUGCUGUGAGGCAUGCUGGAGGUAUCAGAAGUGCGAAUGCUGACAUAAGUAACGAUAAAGCGGGUGAAAAGCCCGCUCGCCGGAAGACCAAGGGUUCCUGUCCAACGUUAAUCGGGGCAGGGUGAGUCGACCCCUAAGGCGAGGCCGAAAGGCGUAGUCGAUGGGAAACAGGUUAAUAUUCCUGUACUUGGUGUUACUGCGAAGGGGGGACGGAGAAGGCUAUGUUGGCCGGGCGACGGUUGUCCCGGUUUAAGCGUGUAGGCUGGUUUUCCAGGCAAAUCCGGAAAAUCAAGGCUGAGGCGUGAUGACGAGGCACUACGGUGCUGAAGCAACAAAUGCCCUGCUUCCAGGAAAAGCCUCUAAGCAUCAGGUAACAUCAAAUCGUACCCCAAACCGACACAGGUGGUCAGGUAGAGAAUACCAAGGCGCUUGAGAGAACUCGGGUGAAGGAACUAGGCAAAAUGGUGCCGUAACUUCGGGAGAAGGCACGCUGAUAUGUAGGUGAAGUCCCUCGCGGAUGGAGCUGAAAUCAGUCGAAGAUACCAGCUGGCUGCAACUGUUUAUUAAAAACACAGCACUGUGCAAACACGAAAGUGGACGUAUACGGUGUGACGCCUGCCCGGUGCCGGAAGGUUAAUUGAUGGGGUCAGCGCAAGCGAAGCUCUUGAUCGAAGCCCCGGUAAACGGCGGCCGUAACUAUAACGGUCCUAAGGUAGCGAAAUUCCUUGUCGGGUAAGUUCCGACCUGCACGAAUGGCGUAAUGAUGGCCAGGCUGUCUCCACCCGAGACUCAGUGAAAUUGAACUCGCUGUGAAGAUGCAGUGUACCCGCGGCAAGACGGAAAGACCCCGUGAACCUUUACUAUAGCUUGACACUGAACAUUGAGCCUUGAUGUGUAGGAUAGGUGGGAGGCUUAGAAGUGUGGACGCCAGUCUGCAUGGAGCCGACCUUGAAAUACCACCCUUUAAUGUUUGAUGUUCUAACGUUGACCCGUAAUCCGGGUUGCGGACAGUGUCUGGUGGGUAGUUUGACUGGGGCGGUCUCCUCCUAAAGAGUAACGGAGGAGCACGAAGGUUGGCUAAUCCUGGUCGGACAUCAGGAGGUUAGUGCAAUGGCAUAAGCCAGCUUGACUGCGAGCGUGACGGCGCGAGCAGGUGCGAAAGCAGGUCAUAGUGAUCCGGUGGUUCUGAAUGGAAGGGCCAUCGCUCAACGGAUAAAAGGUACUCCGGGGAUAACAGGCUGAUACCGCCCAAGAGUUCAUAUCGACGGCGGUGUUUGGCACCUCGAUGUCGGCUCAUCACAUCCUGGGGCUGAAGUAGGUCCCAAGGGUAUGGCUGUUCGCCAUUUAAAGUGGUACGCGAGCUGGGUUUAGAACGUCGUGAGACAGUUCGGUCCCUAUCUGCCGUGGGCGCUGGAGAACUGAGGGGGGCUGCUCCUAGUACGAGAGGACCGGAGUGGACGCAUCACUGGUGUUCGGGUUGUCAUGCCAAUGGCACUGCCCGGUAGCUAAAUGCGGAAGAGAUAAGUGCUGAAAGCAUCUAAGCACGAAACUUGCCCCGAGAUGAGUUCUCCCUGACYCYUURAGRGUCCUGAAGGAACGUUGAAGACGACGACGUUGAUAGGCCGGGUGUGUAAGCGCAGCGAUGCGUUGAGCUAACCGGUACUAAUGAACCGUGAGGCUUAACCUUACAACGCCGAAGSUGUU